Molecule: small RNA, 574 nt
Filed under: Pongo abelii (Sumatran orangutan)
Lineage: Eukaryota; Metazoa; Chordata; Mammalia; Primates; Hominidae
Description: processed transcript
Source: RNAcentral
GAGCUACGCCGGGGCUGUGGGAAUAAGAUGGCGGGGAAGAAGAAUGUUCUGUCGUCCCUCGCGGUUUACGCGGAAGAUUCAGAGCCCGAGUCUGAUGGCGAGGCUGGAAUCGAGGCGGUGGGCAGCGCGGCUGAGGAGAAAGGCGGAUUGGUAUCUGAUGCCUAUGGGGAGGAUGACUUUUCUCGUCUAGGGGGUGAUGAAGAUGGUUAUGAAGAAGAAGAAGAUGAGAACAGUAGACAGUCGGAAGAUGACGAUUCAGAGACUGAAAAACCUGAGGCUGAUGACCCAAAGGAGAAGCUCGGCACAGUGACAGAGGCACCCAGGGCUCAGCAAGCUCAUGGCCCAGCUUGUUGGACUCAGAGGGCAGAAGAAUCACAUUCUAAACAUGACAAGAGACGUGACUCAACAACCUCAGCUGAGCCUGACAGCACACACACCCCACACACCUUUCCAUCUCCAGGGUCACAAAAGCCACAAGAAGCCACGGGGAGGCUCCUGGCCUCUUACUUUACCUAAGGAGCCCCUGAAGUGGAUAAUACAGAAGCAGAAAAGCGAGACCCCCAGGAACUCGUGG